UCCUAGCCGUGACCGCAGUGAAAAGCCUUUUUUUAUGAAAUUGCAUUUUUUUCUAGGAUAAAAAGAGCGACCGCAGGAAGCUCCUUUUUAGCCUUAGAAAAAAGCAAUUUUAGGAAAAAGCUUGAAACGGAGUGCGCGAUAAGCU
RNAcentral lists this small RNA (145 nucleotides) under Flavobacterium fryxellicola. Its description in RNAcentral is "Flavo-1 RNA". It matches the Rfam family "Flavo-1 RNA". Lineage: Bacteria; Pseudomonadati; Bacteroidota; Flavobacteriia; Flavobacteriales; Flavobacteriaceae. The record is from RNAcentral.